Non-coding RNA from Phalacrocorax carbo (great cormorant), 2518 nucleotides. The record is from RefSeq and is a predicted model, not a curated record. Lineage: Eukaryota; Metazoa; Chordata; Aves; Suliformes; Phalacrocoracidae.
UCUUUAGCGAGGCCGGGCUGGACCUGGGCUGCCUGCUGCCGUGUGGCUGGGCUGGGCUGAGCUCGGCUCGGCUGAGUUGAGCUGAGCUGAGCUUAGCUGGGCUGAGUUGAACUGGGUGGCGUGGGGGUUCCGCCUCGCCGUGCGCCCGUAGGAUGAGCCGGCCCUUUGCUGGGGGCUGGGGCGAGGAGGUGUGGCCGCCACCGUGGGUCACUGUCUGCGACGGGGCUGCCCCUCCAGAAACCGGUGCGGCUUUGUGUGAUGUGAAAGUACUCAACACCAAGGAAUUUUAAAUGUUAAUUAUAAGCUACUGAGUUAUUUUAAUUCUUCACGUGUAAAUCCUUGCAUAUUUUGAAGCAUUCAUGAAAUGGGAAUAGUCUUUACCUGUUGUGUUCUCUUCCUCCUGCCUGUGAAGAGGAGCACCAGGAGAGGUACAGGCGCUGUCUCUGCUGCUGGAGAAGAGUGUCAGGAGGAAGAUGUCGCCUCUCCCUGUGGUGCCACAGGCGGUCGGAGGGGAGAAGCCUGCUCCUGGGACGGGGAGGGCUCGUUGCCCUGCGGCGCUGGGGCGCCCCGUGUUCGGCCACGCGCGAGUCCCAUCGCAGCGCGGUUGGGCAGCCGUAUGGCGUGGCCCGUCACACCCACCGCGCCACGCAGGAGAGACACGGCGCUCAUCUGGAGAAAUUUCACUUCGCUGGCAGCUUACCACUGUGGAAGGAGCAUCUGUCAGGCGUCACAUUAAUGUGGUUUAAUAACGUUCUUUCUGAGCUUGGCUCGAUACCACUUGAAAUACGAAAGGCGUUUCACACAUUUGAAGCCAUAUAAAUCUGUGUGUGUGUACAUAACGCAUCUGAAGCUAUCAGGUUAAUUAAAGCACCGAGCUUCAUGCUGCGACACAGAUACGCACGUGUGUUCCGUGUUCGUGAGCUCUCCGGGCUGCGCCCCAUCCAGGAAUCACGAAACCCGUUGCCUGUUGUGGGCUUUGGAGCAGGUUUCGCAUCCAUCCACGUCAAGUGUCAGAAGCGGCCCCGUCCUCUGGAUCCUUCGGAUACGCUGUGGCUUACCUGGUGCUGCAGCGCCGGUCAUUGAGAUACUCGGCGCCGCUCUUUGGGACCGUACGUCGCGAUACAGUGGAGAGCUGGAAACAGGCUCCGCAGUGCACGCCUGUGGCUGCUGUACAAAACUUGGACAACGUUAAUUUUAAACGCUAUAGAACAACAGAGAUUUUUAAAAAACAGGAUUUGGAUCAUCUGAUACGAUUGAAUUGAAACAUGGCGUUACCAUCUCCGCUCUCAGCCCUUAAGGCAGGAGGAAUGUCGGAAGGACCUGAAAAACCUCGGUGCCUCCCGCAGGGGAGCUGCCGCGAAGAAGGAAUUUCAGUGGCCGUUUGCCUUGCUGGCCAUUCGGGGUCCUGCUGCAAGGACCCAGGGACAAGAGCUUACUUUACCAACAGCGAUGUUCAAAAUGUGAUGUUUCACAGUUGUGCGGAGGUACUGUUGGUCUUCAAGAUGUUGAGCAAAGUCAGUGGAAGUAAGGUACCCCACUGCACAGAAGUUCACGCCCAAGUGGGAAUGCCCUCAGCAAAGUGGGGGAGCCGGGAGGAGGAGGAGAGCUGUGCAUCGGAACUGACUUGUGACGAAUCAGCACAUUUGUCUUGGACGCCAUCCUGACCUUCAAAAUUCAGGGGAGAGCGAUCAGUCCUGCAAGAGUGGUAGCUUAACUUAGAAGAAGUGGUCACAAAUAGACACUCAUCACUUGCUAGAAAAUACCACGCUGCUUGCAAAUGGAACGGGAGAAAACCUCUGCAUCUCGGAGGCUCUGACAGGCUGAAACUGCAAGUGGAACAGCCUUCUCUUGGAAAUCCUGGGGAUUGUUUUUGCCUUAGCAUCGUUGGAUCAUUUCUUGUAUGCUAAUCAGCGGCUUUGCUGGCUCUGGACAGGCUCCAGCUCUCCAAGGGGCCGUGGACGGAGUUUCUGGAUGUUGCCGGGGGCGGAUGGUGGACAGGUCUGCGGUUGUGUGCCUGCAGUAAAAUGGUAAAACCCGUCCUUCUGCUUCAGCCUGCUCUCUUUCUCAGGCCAGCAAAUUUCAUACUUAUUAUAGGCUGCUUAAGGCACUCUAGGACGAGCCCUUUCUUUUCAGGUAUUUUUACGUGUAGAUUCCCUCUGUGCCUGGACAGCUCUUUUUUGUGUGUUUGGCAAUCACUGGUUCAAAUUAAAACUAUUCACUACGAUGCCUUAUUAAGAUUCCUGCCCUUUCAAAACAGCAUCCCUGUUUGAAUGUUUGGGUUGCUUUAGAUUCCUCUCUAAAUACCAUUCAUUAUCUAGAAGAUCUGCAGGCGUAUAUAUAAGUAUAUGGAGUAUGCAGAGGUACAUGGAAAUAUAUGUGCAUUUACGCCAGGUACUAGGAAUAAACAGGGUGGCCACCUGUUUAGCAUUCAAGUUCAUCUAUCUAAACUACCAUUUUCAUUUGUACUGUGGUUGUGACAUAUAAAUCAAUGCCCACCAAAUAAAAUUGCUUUGUCUAA